RNAcentral lists this ribosomal RNA (410 nucleotides) under uncultured bacterium. Its description in RNAcentral is "bacterial SSU rRNA". It matches the Rfam family "Bacterial small subunit ribosomal RNA", at positions 8 to 422 of the family's 1533-position model. The record is from RNAcentral.
AGAGUUUGAUCCUGGCUCAGAUUGAACGCUGGCGGCAUGCCUUACACAUGCAAGUCGAACGGCAGCGCGGGGCAACCUGGCGGCGAGUGGCGAACGGGUGAGUAAUAUAUCGGAACGUACCCUGGAGUGGGGGAUAACGUAGCGAAAGCUACGCUAAUACCGCAUACGAUCUAAGGAUGAAAGUGGGGGAUCGCAAGACCUCAUGCUCCUGGAGCGGCCGAUAUCUGAUUAGCUAGUUGGCGGGGUAAAAGCCCACCAAGGCAACGAUCAGUAGCUGGUCUGAGAGGACGACCAGCCACACUGGAACUGAGACACGGUCCAGACUCCUACGGGAGGCAGCAGUGGGGAAUUUUGGACAAUGGGCGCAAGCCUGAUCCAGCAAUGCCGCGUGAGUGAAGAAGGCCUUCGGG